CCUACGGGGGGCAGCAGUGAGGAAUAUUGGUCAAUGGCCGGAAGGCUGAACCAGCCAUGCCGCGUGAAGGUCAGUGCCCUAUGGGCGUUAAACUUCUUUUGUGCGGGAGCAAGAAUGGUCACGUGUGGCCAGACGAGAGGACCGUACGAAUAAGCAUCGGCGAACUCCGUGCCCGCAGCCGCGGUAAGACGGGGGAUGCAAGCGUUAUCCGGAUUUCUUGGGUUUAAAGGGUGCGUAGGCUGUGAGGUAAGUCAGCGGUGAAAUGCCCCCGCUCAACGGGGUGAAGGGCCAUUGAUACUGCCUUGCUGGAUUGCGGCUGCCGUGGGCGGAAUGUGUGGUGUAGCGGU
RNAcentral lists this ribosomal RNA (347 nucleotides) under uncultured bacterium. RNAcentral's name for it is "partial 16S ribosomal RNA". It matches the Rfam family "Bacterial small subunit ribosomal RNA", at positions 338 to 682 of the family's 1533-position model. The record is from RNAcentral.